UACGGAGGGGGCUAGCGUUGUUCGGAAUUACUGGGCGUAAAGAGCGUGUAGGCGGUCAGGUAGGUCCGUUGUGAAAACUCGAGCUCAACCUCGAGACGCCGGUGGAAACCAUCAGACUAGAGUCCGGAAGAGGAGAGUGGAAUUCCUGGUGUAGCGGUGAAAUGCGCAGAUAUCAGGAAGAACACCCGUGGCUAAGGCGGCUCUCUAGUACGGUACUGACGCUGAGGAGCGAAAGCGUGGGGAGCGAACAGG
Molecule: ribosomal RNA, 252 nt
Filed under: uncultured bacterium
Lineage: Bacteria
Description: partial 16S ribosomal RNA
Rfam family: Bacterial small subunit ribosomal RNA
Source: RNAcentral